CUCGAUCCAAGCAGGGUGCAGACACGGCACGAGGCGCCACUAAUGUGUACGUUCACACAUCAUCAUCAGCCAGUCACUCACGCCUAAUACCCACACGAAUACAGCACCGUCAUCAUGGCAUGUUUCACAUCGUGGGCAGCCCGGAAGUCACUAAGAGAGGCCCUAAUGCGAGGAGAAUCAUGUCCAAAUCCCCCGAAUUGAUGUCUGACAUUAGUGAAUUAAGUGUGUACAUACUGAGUACCUCCUGUGUUGAAGAAGACGUAGCACUUUGUGACCACGGUCUAUUUCCUUUCCUCCUCGUGUGUGUCACCGUACAAAAAUUCUGAAAGAACAGAGAGCCAGCCAAUAGAGGUCAGCUGACUCGAAUACGCACAAACAACACAAAGGGGUUGGGAUCAUUGAAUAGGUUGGUUUGGUGUACCAGCAAAAGAGUAAUGAAGGGACUGGGCAGCCAUCCACCAUCA
Molecule: long non-coding RNA, 464 nt
Filed under: Setaria italica (foxtail millet)
Lineage: Eukaryota; Viridiplantae; Streptophyta; Magnoliopsida; Poales; Poaceae
Description: long non-coding RNA (SITA_LNC000641)
Source: RNAcentral